Molecule: ribosomal RNA, 784 nt
Filed under: Pseudomonas anguilliseptica
Lineage: Bacteria; Pseudomonadati; Pseudomonadota; Gammaproteobacteria; Pseudomonadales; Pseudomonadaceae
Description: bacterial SSU rRNA
Rfam family: Bacterial small subunit ribosomal RNA
Source: RNAcentral
GCUAACACAUGCAAGUCGAGCGGUAGAGAGAAGCUUGCUUCUCUUGAGAGCGGCGGACGGGUGAGUAAUGCCUAGGAAUCUGCCUAGUGGUGGGGGGUAACGUUCGGAAACGGACGCUAAUACCGCAUACGUCCUACGGGAGAAAGCGGGGGAUCUUCGGACCUCGCGCCAUUAGAUGAGCCUAGGUCGGAUUAGCUAGUUGGUGAGGUAAUGGCUCACCAAGGCGACGAUCCGUAACUGGUCUGAGAGGAUGAUCAGUCACACUGGAACUGAGACACGGUCCAGACUCCUACGGGAGGCAGCAGUGGGGAAUAUUGGACAAUGGGCGAAAGCCUGAUCCAGCCAUGCCGCGUGUGUGAAGAAGGUCUUCGGAUUGUAAAGCACUUUAAGUUGGGAGGAAGGGCAGUAACCUAAUACGUUAUUGUUUUGACGUUACCGACAGAAUAAGCACCGGCUAACUUCGUGCCAGCAGCCGCGGUAAUACGAAGGGUGCAAGCGUUAAUCGGAAUUACUGGGCGUAAAGCGCGCGUAGGUGGUUCAGUAAGUUGGAAGUGAAAUCCCCGGGCUCACCUGGGAACUGCUUUCAAAACUGCUGAGCUAGAGUACGGUAGAGGGUGGUGGAAUUUCCUGUGUAGCGGUGAAAUGCGUAGAUAUAGGAAUGAACACCAGUGGCGAAAGNGACCACCUGGACUGAUACUGACNCUGAAGUGCNAAAGCGGUGGGAGCAAACAGGAUUAANNANNCUGGNAGUCCACGCCGUAANCGAUGUCACUANCNCUGGAAU